UACGGGGGGGGCAAGCGUUGUUCGGAAUUACUGGGCGUAAAGGGCUCGUAGGCGGCCAACUAAGUCCGACGUGAAAUCCCAAGGCUUAACCUUGGAACUGCGUCGGAUACUGGAUGGCUUGAAUUCGGGAGAGGGAUGCAGAAUUCCAGGUGUAGCGGUGAAAUGCGUAGAUAUCUGGAGGAAUACCGGUGGCGAAGGCGGCAUCCUGGACCGACAUUGACGCUGAUGAGCGAAAAGCUAGGGGAGCAAACGGGG
RNAcentral lists this ribosomal RNA (255 nucleotides) under uncultured bacterium. RNAcentral's name for it is "partial 16S ribosomal RNA". It matches the Rfam family "Bacterial small subunit ribosomal RNA", at positions 524 to 777 of the family's 1533-position model. The record is from RNAcentral.